Molecule: unclassified non-coding RNA, 240 nt
Filed under: uncultured fungus
Lineage: Eukaryota; Fungi
Description: sequence contains ITS2
Rfam family: 5.8S ribosomal RNA (bases 1-52)
Source: RNAcentral
AACGCACAUUGCGCCCUUUGGUAUUCCGAAGGGCAUGCCUGUUCGAGCGUCAUUAUAACCACUCAAGCCUUUGCUUGGUAUUGGGGUUCGCGGUCUCGCGGCCCCUAAAAUCAGUGGCGGUGCCUGUCGGCUCUACGCGUAGUAAUACUCCUCGCGAUUGAGUCCGGUGGGUAGCUUGCCAACAACCCCCCAUUUUUUCAGGUUGACCUCGGAUCAGGUAGGGAUACCCGCUGAACUUAA